CCUACGGGAGGCAGCAGUAGGGAAUCUUCCGCAAUGGACGAAAGUCUGACGGAGCAACGCCGCGUGAGCGAAGAAGGCCUUCGGGUCGUAAAGCUCUGUUGUCAGGGAAGAACAAGUGCCGGAGUAACUGCCGGCACCUUGACGGUACCUGGCCAGAAAGCCACGGCUAACUACGUGCCAGCAGCCGCGGUAAU
RNAcentral lists this ribosomal RNA (194 nucleotides) under uncultured Bacillus sp. Its description in RNAcentral is "partial 16S ribosomal RNA". It matches the Rfam family "Bacterial small subunit ribosomal RNA", at positions 338 to 524 of the family's 1533-position model. Lineage: Bacteria; Bacillati; Bacillota; Bacilli; Caryophanales; Bacillaceae. The record is from RNAcentral.